RNAcentral lists this ribosomal RNA (493 nucleotides) under bacterium enrichment culture clone NKeA5A2. RNAcentral describes it as "bacterial SSU rRNA". It matches the Rfam family "Bacterial small subunit ribosomal RNA", at positions 31 to 526 of the family's 1533-position model. The record is from RNAcentral.
GAACGCUGGCGGCGUGCCUAACACAUGCAAGUCGAACGCGAACGGAAUCUUCGGAUUCCAAGUAGAGUGGCGCACGGGUGAGUAACACGUGGAUAACCUGCCCUAUGAUCUGGGAUAACAUUUCGAAAGAAGUGCUAAUACCGGAUAAGCCCCCGGAAUCUUCGGAUUCAGAGGGAAAAGAUUUAUCGUCAUAGGAUGGGUCCGCGGUCCAUUAGCUAGUUGGUGGGGUAAUGGCCUACCAAGGCCGCGAUGGAUAGCUGGUCUGAGAGGAUGAUCAGCCACACUGGAACUGAGACACGGUCCAGACUCCUACGGGAGGCAGCAGUGGGGAAUUUUGCGCAAUGGGGGAAACCCUGACGCAGCAACGCCGCGUGAAGGAUGAAGGCCUUUGGGUCGUAAACUUCUGUCAGAGGGGAAGAAAUGCCCGCAAGGGAGCUGACGGUACCCUCAAAGGAAGCACCGGCUAACUCCGUGCCAGCAGCCGCGGUAAUAC